GGUUGCGAUCAUACCAACACUAAUGCACCGGAUCCCAUCAGAACUCCGCAGUUUAGCGUGCUUGGGCGAGGGUAGUACUAGGAUGGGUGACUCCCUGGGAAGUCCUCGUGUUGCAACCCCUUUUUUCGCUUUUUUUAUUAUAUUUACUAGUUGAUGUAUCUUUGGCGUAGCAUUCGAUCGGCCGAUUUUGUGAAAGAAAGGCUUUGACAAUGGGGCGCGCGUGACGUAGGCCACGCAUGAGGGCAUAGUUGCGCAUGCGAUGAAGGCGUGGAAAGGUAUAAAGGAAUAAGGAGAUGGUAUUCUUUCGGUUGCGAUCUUUCGAGCACUAAUGCACCGGAUCCCAUCAAAACUCCGUAGUUAAGCGUGCUUGGGUAAGAGUAGUACUAGGAUGGGUGACCCCCUGGGAAGUCCACGUGCUGGAACCC
This 425-nucleotide long non-coding RNA is filed under the name Helianthus annuus (common sunflower). The record is from RNAcentral. Lineage: Eukaryota; Viridiplantae; Streptophyta; Magnoliopsida; Asterales; Asteraceae.